UUUCCGUAGGUGAACCUGCGGAAGGAUCAUUAAAAAAUUGGACUCCAUUGGUGAGUUCAUUAAUAAUCCUAACCCUUUGUGAAUUUGUUUGUUUGAAUAAUUUUUUUUUCCAAAAAAAAUUAUUGAAUGUCUUUUCCCUGUUUUGGUGGAGCUUGUAAAGUGAAACCAGGCAGGGGAAUGGCAAACAAUAAUUAUUUUUUGAAAAAGACCUUUUUUUAAAAUUAAACUUUUUGUAUUCAUUUGUCUAAAAUUAUUUUUAUAAUAUAAAAACAACUUUUGACAAUGGAUCUCUUGGUUUCUCGCAACGAUGAAGAACGCAGCAAAAUGCGAUAAGUAGUGUGAAUUGCAGAAUACGUGAAUCAUCGAAUCUUCGAACGCAUAUUGCACUUUUUUAGUUUACUAAAAAAAGUAUGCCUGUUUGAGUAUCAGUAAAAAUAUUCUCAUAAAAAAUUUAUUUUUUAUGGUUAUGAGUGUUUUAACAACGAUAACAAGUUGUUUCACUUUAAAUUCUUUGUUAUCAAAAAAAUCAUUAAAAGCUAAUUUUAAAGAUUUUUUAAAAUUGGAUAAAAUUUUCCCGUAAAAAAGGAAUAACCUAAACAAUUUUUAAAAAAUUAAAAUUGGUUUGAUUUUUCUUGAUUUAAAAAGGAAAAAAAAAGUAAAAAUUAACUUGAUCUCAAAUCAGAUAAGAGUACCCGCUGAACUUAAGCAUAUCAAUAAGCGGAGGAAAAGAAACUAACUAGGAUUCCCUCAGUAACGGCGAGUGAAGCGGGAAGAGCUCAAAUUUUGAAAUCUUCAAGGUUUUUACCUCGAACGAAUUGUAGUUUAAAGAAGUGUUUUUCUGUUGGAGUUUUUGGUAAAAGUUCUUUGGAAAAGGACAUCAUAGAGGGUGAAGAAUCCCGUAUUUGACCAUUAUCUCCAGCUUUGUGAUACACUUUCAAAGAGUCGGAUUGUUUGGGAAUGCAGUCCAAAAUGGGUGGUAAAUUUCAUCUAAAGCUAAACACUGGCGAGAGACCGAUAGCGAAACAAGUACCGUGAGGGAGAGAUGAAAAGAACUUUGAAAAGAGAGUUAAACAGUACGUGAAAUUGUCAAAAGGGAAGCGUUUGACACCAGUGUUGUUUUCUCGAAAAUCAAUUAAAAAAGGCCGGAUUUUUGUGUUGUAUUGACUUUAUCAGCUUUCUGCACUUUUUUCUUGUCUUUUUUAAUGCACUUUUCGUUUAACAAGUUAACAUCAAUUUCUUUUGUUGUAAAAGGGUCAUUGGAAGGUGGCUUUCUUUUCGGAGAAAGUGUUUAUAGCCUUUGGCCUCUGCAAUCGGAGAGAUUGAGGUCUGCAGCGUAGAUCCUUCGGGGUUAGAUACAUUUGUGCUAAGUUAUAGCCUUUCAUAGACAACCUGUUGACUAUGAUCAGUCAUGUAGCUUACUCGCUUAUGCUUAUUU
This 1435-nucleotide unclassified non-coding RNA is filed under the name uncultured Neocallimastigales. RNAcentral's name for it is "partial contains small subunit ribosomal RNA, internal transcribed spacer 1, 5.8S ribosomal RNA, internal transcribed spacer 2, and large subunit ribosomal RNA". The stretch from base 669 to 1435 matches the Rfam family "Eukaryotic large subunit ribosomal RNA", at positions 1 to 618 of the family's 3401-position model. The record is from RNAcentral. Lineage: Eukaryota; Fungi; Neocallimastigomycota; Neocallimastigomycetes; Neocallimastigales.